GCGCCACUAGCUCAGCUGGAUAGAGCGACGGCCUCCGGAGCCGUAGGUCGCAGGUUCGACUCCUGCGUGGCGCG
RNAcentral lists this transfer RNA (74 nucleotides) under Polyangiaceae bacterium. RNAcentral's name for it is "tRNA-Arg". It matches the Rfam family "tRNA". From Rfam's summary of the family: Transfer RNA (tRNA) molecules are approximately 80 nucleotides in length. Their secondary structure includes four short double-helical elements and three loops (D, anti-codon, and T loops). Further hydrogen bonds mediate the characteristic L-shaped molecular structure. tRNAs have two regions of fundamental functional importance: the anti-codon, which is responsible for specific mRNA codon recognition, and the 3' end, to which the tRNAs corresponding amino acid is attached (by aminoacyl-tRNA synthetases). tRNAs cope with the degeneracy of the genetic code in two manners: having more than one tRNA (with a specific anti-codon) for a particular amino acid; and 'wobble' base-pairing, i.e. permitting non-standard base-pairing at the 3rd anti-codon position. RNAcentral also lists the same sequence under 2 other names. The record is from RNAcentral. Lineage: Bacteria; Pseudomonadati; Myxococcota; Polyangiales; Polyangiaceae.